GACGAACGCUGGCGGCGUGCUUAACACGUGCAAGUCGAACGGAAAGGCCUCUUUCGGGGGGUACUCGAGGGGCGAACGGGUGAGUAACACGUGAGUAACCUGCCCUUGACUUUGUGAUAACUUCAGGAAACGGGGGCUAAUACCGGAUAGGAGCUCCUGCUGCAUGGUGGGGGUUGGAAAGCUUCGGCGGUUGGGGGUGGACUUGCGGCUUAUCAGGUUGUUGGUGGGGUAGUGGCUUACCAAGGCCUUGACGGGUAGCCGGCCUGAGAGGGUGACCGGCCACAUUGGGACUGAGAUACGGCCCAGACUCCUACGGGAGGCAGCAGUGGGGAAUAUUGCACAAUGGGUGGAAGCCUGAUGCAGCAACGCCGUGUGCGGGAUGACGGCCUUCGGGUUGUAAAACGCUUUCGCUCAUGACGAAGCUUUGUGUGACGGUAGUGGGUAAAGAAGCACCGGCUAACUACGUG
RNAcentral lists this ribosomal RNA (467 nucleotides) under uncultured bacterium. RNAcentral describes it as "partial 16S ribosomal RNA". It matches the Rfam family "Bacterial small subunit ribosomal RNA", at positions 28 to 507 of the family's 1533-position model. The record is from RNAcentral.